RNAcentral lists this ribosomal RNA (320 nucleotides) under uncultured eukaryote. RNAcentral's name for it is "partial 18S ribosomal RNA". It matches the Rfam family "Eukaryotic small subunit ribosomal RNA", at positions 1470 to 1796 of the family's 1831-position model. The record is from RNAcentral.
CCCCUAGAUGUUCUGGGCCGCACGCGCGCUACACUGAACAGUUCAACAAGUCUUAACCUUGGCCGAUAGGUCUGGGUAAUCUUUGAACGCUGUUCGUGAUUGGGAUAGACCUUUGCAAUUAUGGGUCUUCAACGAGGAAUUCCUAGUAAACGCAAGUCAUCAGCUUGCAUUGAUUACGUCCCUGCCCUUUGUACACACCGCCCGUCGCACCUACCGAUUGAAUGGUCCGGUGAAAUCUCGGGACGGCGGCUUGGUCCCUUGCGUCCGACUGCUGAAACUUGAUUAAACCAUAUCAUUUAGAGGAAGGUGAAGUCGUAACA